This 253-nucleotide ribosomal RNA is filed under the name uncultured bacterium. Its description in RNAcentral is "partial 16S ribosomal RNA". It matches the Rfam family "Bacterial small subunit ribosomal RNA", at positions 524 to 776 of the family's 1533-position model. The record is from RNAcentral.
GACGAACCGUCCAAACGUUAUUCGGAAUUAUUGGGCUUAAAGGGUGCGUAGGCUGUGCAGUAAGUUGGGUGUGAAAUCCCUCGGCUCAACCGAGGAACUGCGCCGAAUACUGCUGUGCUAGAGGAAGAUAGGGGUAAGCGGAACUGAUGGUGGAGCGGUGAAAUGCGUAGAUAUCGUUUGGAACGCCAAUGGUGAAAACAGGUUGCUGGGAGUGUGCUGACGCUGAGACACGAAAGCCAGGGGAGCGAACGGG